RNAcentral lists this ribosomal RNA (253 nucleotides) under uncultured bacterium. RNAcentral's name for it is "partial 16S ribosomal RNA". It matches the Rfam family "Bacterial small subunit ribosomal RNA", at positions 524 to 776 of the family's 1533-position model. The record is from RNAcentral.
UACGGAGGGGGCUAGCGUUGUUCGGAAUUACUGGGCGUAAAGCGCACGUAGGCGGCUUUGCAAGUCAGGGGUGAAAUCCCGGAGCUCAACUCCGGAACUGCCUUUGAUACUGGCAAUCUAGAGACUGGAAGAGGUUAGUGGAAUUCCCAGUGUAGAGGUGAAAUUCGUAGAUAUUGGGAAGAACACCAGUGGCGAAGGCGGCUAACUGGUCCAGUACUGACGCUGAGGUGCGAAAGCGUGGGGAGCAAACAGG